This 254-nucleotide ribosomal RNA is filed under the name uncultured bacterium. RNAcentral describes it as "partial 16S ribosomal RNA". It matches the Rfam family "Bacterial small subunit ribosomal RNA", at positions 524 to 776 of the family's 1533-position model. The record is from RNAcentral.
UACGUAGGGGGCGAGCGUUGUCCGGAUUCAUUGGGCGUAAAGAGCUCGUAGGCGGUUUGGCAAGUCGGGUGUGAAAUCUCCGGGCUCAACUCGGAGAGGCCACUCGAUACUGCUAUGACUAGAGUCCGGUAGGGGACUAUGGAAUUCCAGGUGUAGCGGUGAAAUGCGUAGAUAUCUGGAGGAACACCGGUGGCGAAGGCGGCAUCCUGGACCAAUUCUGACGCUGAGGAGUGAAAGCCAGGGGAGCAAACGGG